GAUGAACGCUGGCGGCGUGCUUAACACAUGCAAGUCGAACGGAAAGGCUCCUGCUUGCAGGGGUACUCGAGUGGCGAACGGGUGAGUAACACGUGGGUGAUCUGCCCUGCACUUCGGGAUAAGCCUGGGAAACUGGGUCUAAUACCGGAUAGGACCACAUUUUGGAUGGUGUAGUGGAAAGUUUUUCGGUGUGGGAUGAGCUCGCGGCCUAUCAGCUUGUUGGUGGGGUAAUGGCCUACCAAGGCGUCGACGGGUAGCCGGCCUGAGAGGGUGUACGGCCACAUUGGGACUGAGAUACGGCCCAGACUCCUACGGGAGGCAGCAGUGGGGAAUAUUGCACAAUGGGCGCAAGCCUGAUGCAGCGACGCCGCGUGGGGGAUGACGGCCUUCGGGUUGUAAACUCCUUUCGCUAGGGACGAAGCGCAAGUGACGGUACCUGGAGAAGAAGCACCGGCUAACUACGUG
RNAcentral lists this ribosomal RNA (465 nucleotides) under uncultured bacterium. RNAcentral describes it as "partial 16S ribosomal RNA". It matches the Rfam family "Bacterial small subunit ribosomal RNA", at positions 28 to 507 of the family's 1533-position model. The record is from RNAcentral.